AACGCUAGCUACAGGCUUAACACAUGCAAGUCGAGGGGAAACGACAUCGAAAGCUUGCUUUUGAUGGGCGUCGACCGGCGCACGGGUGAGUAACGCGUAUCCAACCUGCCCACCACUUGGGGAUAACCUUGCGAAAGUAAGACUAAUACCCAAUGAUAUCCCACGAAGGCAUCGGAAUGGGAUUAAAGAUUUAUCGGUGAUGGAUGGGGAUGCGUCUGAUUAGCUUGUUGGCGGGGUAACGGCCCACCAAGGCAACGAUCAGUAGGGGUUCUGAGAGGAAGGUCCCCCACAUUGGAACUGAGACACGGUCCAAACUCCUACGGGAGGCAGCAGUGAGGAAUAUUGGUCAAUGGGCGAGAGCCUGAACCAGCCAAGUAGCGUGCAGGAUGACGGCCCUAUGGGUUGUAAACUGCUUUUAUAAGGGAAUAAAGUGAGAGUCGUGACUCUUUUUGCAUGUACCUUAUGAAUAAGGACCGGCUAAUUCCGUGCCAGCAGCCGCGGUAAUACGGAAGGUCCGGGCGUUAUCCGGAUUUAUUGGGUUUAAAGGGAGCGUAGGCCGGAGAUUAAGCGUGUUGUGAAAUGUAGGCGCUCAACGUCUGCACUGCAGCGCGAACUGGUUUCCUUGAGUACGCACAAAGUGGGCGGAAUUCGUGGUGUAGCGGUGAAAUGCUUAGAUAUCACGAAGAACUCCGAUUG
RNAcentral lists this ribosomal RNA (696 nucleotides) under uncultured bacterium. RNAcentral's name for it is "bacterial SSU rRNA". It matches the Rfam family "Bacterial small subunit ribosomal RNA", at positions 32 to 715 of the family's 1533-position model. The record is from RNAcentral.